UCCCAGCCCUGAUAGAAGCGGUAUCCUUUUUCUGGCUUCUUUAGACAGAAAAAGAUACAAGCGAAUAGCAGGAAACAGC
RNAcentral lists this small RNA (79 nucleotides) under Flavobacterium araucananum. Its description in RNAcentral is "Flavo-1 RNA". It matches the Rfam family "Flavo-1 RNA". Lineage: Bacteria; Pseudomonadati; Bacteroidota; Flavobacteriia; Flavobacteriales; Flavobacteriaceae. The record is from RNAcentral.